GGAAGUGAGGGCGAUCUGGCUGUGACAUGUCACCCCAUUAAUCGCCAGGGUUGAUUCGGCUGAUCUGGCUGGCUAGGUGGGUGUCCCCCUCCUCCCUCACCGAUCCAUGUGCGUUUCUCCCGAAGCUGCAAGCUCAGUGGGAGAGGACGACCUUCCCCCCCACCCCAACCCCCCCUAGGAGAGGACUGGUCUUUGGUCAAGGGUAUACGAGUAGCUGCGCUCCCCUGCUAGAACCUCCAAAACAAGCUCUCAAGAAAGCAAAAAGUCCUGGCGGGUGUGGUUGGAGCUUCAUCCAGUACACCAAAGGGCAGCGGGUUCUAUUCGUCAGGGCACAUACCCAGGUUGCAUGUU
Molecule: small nuclear RNA, 351 nt
Filed under: Myotis davidii
Lineage: Eukaryota; Metazoa; Chordata; Mammalia; Chiroptera; Vespertilionidae
Description: 7SK RNA
Rfam family: 7SK RNA
About the family: 7SK was discovered as an abundant small nuclear RNA in the mid-70s but a possible function has only recently been suggested.
Source: Rfam by way of RNAcentral